AAUGAACGCUGGCGGCGCGCCUAAUACAUGCAAGUCGAGCGAGAAGACGUAGCAAUACGUUUGUAAAGCGGCGAACGGGUGAGGAAUACAUGGGUAACCUACCCUCGAGUGGGGAAUAACUAGCCGAAAGGUUAGCUAAUACCGCGUACGCUCCUUGGACUUCGGUUCAGGGAGGAAAGCGAUACCGUGGGUAUCGCGCUCUUGGUUGGGCUCAUGUCCUAUCAGCUUGUUGGGAGGUAACGGCUCACCAAGGCUUCGACGGGUAGCUGGUCUGAGAGGACGAUCAGCCACACUGGCACUGCGACACGGGCCAGACUCCUACGGGAGGCAGCAGUAAGGAAUAUUGCGCAAUGGGCGAAAGCCUGACGCAGCGACGCCGCGUGGGGGAUGAAAGUC
This 396-nucleotide ribosomal RNA is filed under the name uncultured bacterium. Its description in RNAcentral is "bacterial SSU rRNA". It matches the Rfam family "Bacterial small subunit ribosomal RNA", at positions 29 to 416 of the family's 1533-position model. The record is from RNAcentral.